UACAGAGGUCCCAAGCGUUGUUCGGAUUCAUUGGGCGUAAAGGGUGCGUAGGUGGCGUCGUAAGUCGGGUGAAAUCUCUGGGCUUAACUCCGAAACUGCAUUCGAUACUGCGGUGCUUGAGGACUGGAGAGGAGACUGGAAUUUACGGUGUAGCAGUGAAAUGCGUAGAGAUCGUAAGGAAGACCAGUGGCGAAGGCGGGUCUCUGGACAGUUCCUGACACUGAGGCACGAAGGCCAGGGGAGCAAACGGG
This 251-nucleotide ribosomal RNA is filed under the name uncultured bacterium. Its description in RNAcentral is "partial 16S ribosomal RNA". It matches the Rfam family "Bacterial small subunit ribosomal RNA", at positions 524 to 776 of the family's 1533-position model. The record is from RNAcentral.